This 513-nucleotide long non-coding RNA is filed under the name Homo sapiens (human). RNAcentral describes it as "HSALNT0255000". The record is from RNAcentral. Lineage: Eukaryota; Metazoa; Chordata; Mammalia; Primates; Hominidae.
CCGAGGCCUGCCAAGCAUCAAGAAGUCCACACAGCAGAGAGGUGCAGUCAGGAACAAGCUGGGGAAACUGGGUCCACCUAGACCUCAGUCUCUUCAUCCCAGAAGCGAGAGGUGCAGUCAGCGACAAUCUGGGGAAACUGGGCCCACCUAGACUUCAGUGUCUUCAUCCCAGAAGCCCGCACCGCGGAGAGGUGCGGAAGGGAACAAGCUGGGGAAACGGGGUCCACCUAGACCUCGGUCUCUUCAUCCGAGCGUAGCUUCCCUUUCCCCUCCCCAGAAGCCCACACAGCGAAGAGGUGCGGACCGGAACACGCUCGGGACGGGCAGAGGGACCCGUAGGGAGGCAGGAAGGACGGUCCCUGCCAACAUAGCCCCAUUCACCCCAUUUUCCUUUUUGUCCGCCAUAAACUGGACCCACUUUGCAUCUACCCUUCCCCCAAAGCAAACAGCAUCCUCCCACUACCCUGCAGCUGGGCCCCCCCCACUGGUCCCCGCUUUCCCGGUGGAGACGGC